RNAcentral lists this ribosomal RNA (162 nucleotides) under uncultured bacterium. RNAcentral's name for it is "partial 16S rRNA". It matches the Rfam family "Bacterial small subunit ribosomal RNA", at positions 358 to 511 of the family's 1533-position model. The record is from RNAcentral.
GGAAUCUUCCACAAUGGACGCAAGUCUGAUGGAGCAACGCCGCGUGAGUGAAGAAGGUUUUCGGAUCGUAAAGCUCUGUUGUAAGAGAAGAACGUGUGUGAGAGUGGAAAAUUCACACAGUGACGGUAACUUACCAGAAAGGGACGGCUAACUACGUGCCAG